RNAcentral lists this long non-coding RNA (586 nucleotides) under Homo sapiens (human). RNAcentral describes it as "HSALNT0190998". The record is from RNAcentral. Lineage: Eukaryota; Metazoa; Chordata; Mammalia; Primates; Hominidae.
GGCUUUCACCAUGUUAGCCAGGAUGAUCUCCAUCUCCUGACCUUGUGAUCUGCCCGUCUCGGCCUCCCAAAUGCUGGGAUUACAAGGCAUGAGCCAUCAUACCCAGCUCAAUCAAAAUAUUUCACACAGCUGCUGAUGAAUGAAUGUAUGCCUGUAUUAUUUGAAAUAUGGUAAUAUAUUGUUUUAAAAGUACUAGUGAGACUGAAAAUUUUUCUUCUAACACAUUUUCUAAACUUUUCAAUAACUGACCCACUGCAAUUACAAAAAGUGCAAUAUACUUCCUCCGCCUCCCGGGUUCAAGCUAUUCUCCUGCCUCAGCCUCCCAAGUAACUGGGAUUACAGGUGUGUAACACCACGCCCGGCUAAUUUUUUUUAUAUUUUUAGUAGAUACGGGGUUUCACUGUGUUGCCCAGGCUGGCCUUGAACUCCUCACCUUAAGUGAUCCACCCACCUUGGCCUCCCAAAGUGCUGGGAUUACAGGCGUGAGCCACUGCGCCCGGCCAAUAUAAAAUUAAGGAUUCAACGGAACAACAACAAAAAGAUUUAAAGUUUAGCAACUAGUAGUCUUAUGUUUUUUUUUGACACA